GACAGAGGAGGCAAGCGUUAUCCGGAAUUAUUGGGCGUAUAGCGUCCUUAGGAGGUUUGGCAAGUCUGGGGUUACAGCCCGGAGCCUAACUCCGGAUCGGCCCUGGAAACUGCCAGACUAGAGUAAGGUAGGGGUUGCGGGAAUUCCCGGUGUAGCGGUGAAAUGCGUAGAUAUCGGGAAGAACACCAGUGGCGAAAUCGCGCAACGGGGCCAUUAUGUACUUUGUGGGACGAAAGCUAGGGGAGCGAAUGGG
RNAcentral lists this ribosomal RNA (253 nucleotides) under uncultured bacterium. Its description in RNAcentral is "partial 16S ribosomal RNA". It matches the Rfam family "Bacterial small subunit ribosomal RNA", at positions 524 to 776 of the family's 1533-position model. The record is from RNAcentral.